This is a long non-coding RNA of Melozone crissalis (California towhee), 1222 nucleotides long. RefSeq lists it as uncharacterized. NCBI's taxonomy places the organism in Eukaryota, Metazoa, Chordata, Aves, Passeriformes, Passerellidae. The record is from RefSeq and is a predicted model, not a curated record. The transcript has 5 exons.
CACAGAACAUUCCAUUUAACAGAGGCUCUCGGAACGAUUCAUUUUUGCUAUGAGUCUUGAUAAAUUGGAGAAGAGCCCAAGAGAAAUUUUUCAUCACUUGAUAAAAAAGGGAUCGGUGAAUUUUAACUUUGGAGUCCUCUAUGCUAAGGAUGCUCAGCUUACAGAUGAUGAAAUGUUCAGUAAUGUAUUUGCUGCAGCUCUGCUUACCCAAGCUUUGGGUUCCUUCUGUCCCACUGGGAGUUGCCCAGUUUGGUUGCAUCUGGUGAAAUUCACCCUGAGACCUUACAGAACUAGCUCAAACUACAUGAGAGCCAUUUGCAGUUCUCUCCAGACACCUGGAGAAUGGGUGAUGUUUCUGAGGAUCUGGCAAGUAUACUUCUAUCAAAACUCAGUCUGUGAAAUUUCUGGGGAAAACCCUUCUGUGUCCUGAAGGGUUCAAACUCUGGUGAGGAUCCAGUUAUCAGGUGCUCACCUGGAUGGUUCCAGCUCUUAAAGUGAACACUUGUACUCUUGCCCUGUAGUUUAUAUGUAUUGUAUUUUUGUUAUUUUGCAAGAUUUUACAGCUUUGCAAAAUACUGGGCAUUUCACUCUUUGGAACCUCUCAGAUCGUUCUUUGGUGCAGCACCACCUCAUGGGACACUUGGCUGCUGUCCUGAAGGGGUUGGUCGCUAGAAUUGUAAAUCCUGGAGAGUUUAUAAGUCUUCUGUCCCCAGGGAGGUAUCAUGCUUUGUUUACUUUUGUUCUGUUUGUUAGGCACUGCUUCUCGUUGGAAGUAUGAAUUUCAAACUACCCUGUUCUUUUUUUAACAGUUUUCCUGGUUCUCUCCGUACGGCAGGGAAAGACUCUCGUAUCCUUGUCGUCAGGCUCGGUGCUGUCCAAGAAGAUACAGAGACUAAAAAAAUCAUAAGAAGCAAAAUAUGACUGCAGGGAAAACAAGCUGGAGAGAACAAAAGAAAUGGAAUUGGGAUGACGCCUCGGCCAGCCCCUCUCUGCCAUCGUCUCCUGAAUCUGCAGCAGAGCAGUUCCAGUCCAUCCGGGCACGUGUAAUCCAGUUCCUGAUGAUCUGAGCACACGGAGCAGCACUCAGCUGCUGUGGGGGGCUCAGGGAAGGCAGAGUGUGCAUUGUCAUCUUCCUGAACCUACAGACGAAUCAAAGUGAGAAGCUACAGCGUGGAAAUCAGUCGCAUAUAUGCUAAAUAAAACUUGCAGAUUUUUUAAAGAA